CCGUGUCCCUCACCCCCCACCCUUUGUGCCCCCCAGGGAAGGCAGCGUGGUGGUGAACUACAAAGUCCUGCUGCAGCCUCCAGCCGGGGGCCAAGCCAACGCCAGCCUCGGCCAGAGGACUCGGGAGCUGCUGGAGGCUUCGAACGCGGCCAUCCAGCCCCAAAACUGCAGUGAAGGAGCGGAAGGGCUCUGCUUCGGUGCGCUCGCCACCCGGAGGGCCUUCGCCGCCGCGCCGAAGCUCAACGCCACCGAGCUCUGCCGGAAGUACACGCCAGCCAACUUCAGCCACUUCUACUACCCCUACUGGAUGAAUAACAGCCUCCUCUGCAUCACCAACUGCACCCUCAACGUCCCCGGCACCAUCAACUGUGGCCCCGGGCUGUGCCGGGUGACGUUGGAUGGGCCCCGCUGCUUCUGCCCCGAUGUGCCCUGGUACCUCUCCUCCGGCGACCGCUGCCAGACCCACAUCAGCAAACUGGGGCUGGGGCUGGGCGUGGGGCUGGGGCUGGGGCUGACCCUCCUCAUCCUGCUCGUCCUCUGCAUCGUCCUCUCCAUCUGCUUGGCCCAGGGGAAGAGAAAAACGCCCAGCACCAGUGAGGACCAUAGGUGGCCAGACGGCAAGCGCAACGCUCGUGCCACCGGCAUCUACCACGUCAAUGGCAGAGGCUCGACGCUACGUCAAGGUCCCUACGCUCACAGCUCCUACAAGACCAACGCAGAGGUUGCAGACCCUCCUGUGCUGGUGGGUGCACAAGAUGGUGGCUGUGGUAGAGCCAUGGGGUGGGAUGAGUUGGGGUGGGAUGAGUUGGGGUGGG
This 815-nucleotide long non-coding RNA is filed under the name Anser brachyrhynchus (Pink-footed goose). RNAcentral's name for it is "lncRNA (ENSABRG00000007757.1)". The record is from RNAcentral. Lineage: Eukaryota; Metazoa; Chordata; Aves; Anseriformes; Anatidae.